Molecule: ribosomal RNA, 1346 nt
Filed under: uncultured bacterium
Lineage: Bacteria
Description: bacterial SSU rRNA
Rfam family: Bacterial small subunit ribosomal RNA
Source: RNAcentral
GACGAACGCUGGCGGCGUGCUUAACACAUGCGAGUCGAACGAUGAAGCCUAGCUUGCUAGGUGGAUUAGUGGCGAACGGGUGAGUAAUACGUGAGUGACCUACCUUUGACUCUGGGAUAAGCCUGGGAAACUGGGUCUAAUACCGGAUACGACCAAUCUCCGCAUGGGGUGUUGGUGGAAAGCGUUAUGGAGUGGUUUUAGAUGGGCUCACGGCCUAUCAGCUUGUUGGUGAGGUAAUGGCUUACCAAGGCGACGACGGGUAGCCGGCCUGAGAGGGUGACCGGCCACACUGGGACUGAGACACGGCCCAGACUCCUACGGGAGGCAGCAGUGGGGAAUAUUGCACAAUGGGCGCAAGCCUGAUGCAGCGACGCCGCGUGAGGGAUGACGGCCUUCGGGUUGUAAACCUCUGUUAGCAUCGAAGAAGCGAAAGUGACGGUAGGUGCAGAGAAAGCGCCGGCUAACUACGUGCCAGCAGCCGCGGUAAUACGUAGGGCGCGAGCGUUGUCCGGAAUUAUUGGGCGUAAAGAGCUUGUAAGCGGUUGGUCGCGUCUGCUGUGAAGGCUGGGGCUUAACCCUGGUUUUGCAGUGGGUACGGGCUAACUAGAGUGCAGUAGGGGAGACUGGAAUUCCUGGUGUAGCGGUGGAAUGCGCAGAUAUCAGGAGGAACACCGAUGGCGAGGGCAGGUCUCUGGGCUGUAACUGACGCUGAGAAGCGAAAGCAUGGGGAGCGAACAGGAUUAGAUACCCUGGUAGUCCAUGCCGUAAACGUUGGGCACUAGGUGCGGGGGACAUUCCACGUUUUCCGCGCCGUAGCUAACGCAUUAAGUGCCCCGCCUGGGGAGUACGGCCGCAAGGCUAAAACUCAAAGAAAUUGACGGGGGCCCGCACAAGCGGCGGAGCAUGCGGAUUAAUUCGAUGCAACGCGAAGAACCUUACCAAGGCUUGACAUAUACUGGACUGCGUCAGAGGUGGCGUUUCCCUUCGGGGCUGGUAUACAGGUGGUGCAUGGUUGUCGUCAGCUCGUGUCGUGAGAUGUUGGGUUAAGUCCCGCAACGAGCGCAACCCUCGUUCUAUGUUGCCAGCACGUGGUGGUGGGGACUCAUAGGAGACUGCCGGGGUCAACUCGGAGGAAGGUGGGGAUGACGUCAAAUCAUCAUGCCCCUUAUGUCUUGGGCUUCACGCAUGCUACAAUGGCCGGUACAGAGGGUUGCGAUACUGUGAGGUGGAGCUAAUCCCUAAAAGCCGGUCUCAGUUCGGAUUGGGGUCUGCAACUCGACCCCAUGAAGUCGGAGUCGCUAGUAAUCGCAGAUCAGCAACGCUGCGGUGAAUACGUUCCCGGGCCU